AAGCCUCCGGUCCCAUAUUCGGAGGCGCUGGGGCUGUGCGCCAAGGCGCCUUGGGAAACGCAGUCCCGCUUCCUUGCCCAAGAGGCUCUGGAGAGGCAACUUUGGGGGGCCCCUGGACUACCACUCCCAGCAGGCCCUGCGGCCCCUCCCCCCCACCUGCUGUAGGAGCGGCUCGGUAACAGAUCAAUGGGGGGGGGGGUAAUGUGUAAGUUUCAUUUGCUUCCUAGUUAAAUGCAGCUCGGAGCCGCCGGCCGGCCCGCGGCAGGAGACACAGUCCACGCCUGAGCAGAGGACAGAGGAACCAGGAAGGUAGAGGUUGACAAUCAGCCCUUUCGAGGCCAUUGGAAGAGCAGGCGGAAAGGAGCCAGGCCAAGGCGCUGACUCCCGAACCCGCUUCCCCUCCAGAUCUGGCCGGCCGGGGAGCCAGGACGGUGCCGCCAGUGGGAUCCCGGAGCCACCGGCCUCUGAACCGCACGGUGUGGGACAGAGCCGGGACCUUGGGACUGGCCCAGUCCCCAUCGCAGCUUCCUGACGCAGGGGGUGGUGCCGCGCUCCCCACAUGGCAGCUGGGUGCCCCCCGUAACGCCAGUCAAACUGGACGCCUCGGGCCUACGU
Chrysemys picta bellii (western painted turtle) is the source of this 615-nucleotide RNA transcript. It is a transcript of the gene named keratin-associated protein 10-8-like, with no coding region annotated. The record is from RefSeq and is a predicted model, not a curated record. Lineage: Eukaryota; Metazoa; Chordata; Testudines; Emydidae.